UUCAUGACACGCUUUCAGCUGUUACAGCAAUUCUGCAUUUUGUUCAAUUUCCGUCUGAAAUUGAACGCGACAAGUUACACUGGCUGUGUAUUCGAGAUUUCUGGAACUUGGAUUAAAUUCCGAGGAGACUGAUAAGGCGGCUCACGAAGAAACGGAAAUAUGACGCAUCAGACAUCACUAUUGAAAUAAGAUUCUAUUCUUCGUUCGUUCAAAGGUCAAAACGACAAGAUUGGUUUUGAAUGUGCUUUGCUGAAGGAGAAAAUGGAAAACCAAGUCGGAGAUUUUAAAAUUAGUAGGAAACAAAUCAUCCACACUUUUGACUUCAAUAAUGAUUAUCAGAAUGUGGAAUUCACUCAUGUCAUGACGACUGACUGCUACCGCCGAGGGAGACCUUACAAACUGUUCAGGUUUAAUGGGGGAAGUCAGGUGCAGAUUACUUUUGAUCUGCCAGAGAAUGUUAAGAAACCAACUCGUCUCCAUCUGACCGUCACGGAAGGUUGCUGGAGUGGAAUGAUGGAUAUUUUCUUGAAUGACACCCUUUGGAUUGAGAGACAUAAGAGUGCUGGGUCCAACUGGCAAACCCGUGAAAUAACUUUGGAGGUGGAUAGGGAACGGUUACGCGCCCAGAACAAUUCUAUCACCAUGAAGCUACGUGAAGAUGCUGUAAACGUCUACUGGUUGGCAGACGCUAUCAUAGAAGUGACUUAUACUGUUCCAUCUACACUCGUUGACAUCACUGCCAAUGCUGUGGCGAGAAUGAUCAGGAAUGGACAAAUUCCGGAGGAAGUAAUUAACAUCAAACAAAAUCUUCCAACAGAGGUUGCAAACAUUAUUUAUGAGUGGAUGUAACAGAACUGGUUAUUUUGCCUUUUUUUUCAAAAGGAACGUUUUUAAAUAACCGCCUCUUUGAACGGUUUCACUUGAGUGUCGAAGGUAAAUUGUAUUUGCUUUGGUUUGGUUUUCAAACAAUUGGCUUAAAGAAAGUCGGGCCACUUUUUCAUCCAAUCAGAAGUAAAACCAGAAUCAAUCUUGAUUCAUGUCUCACUCGCAUGCGUUUUUUCGCGCUUAGCGUGAGCUUCAUGUCAUUGCUUUGAGUUUUGAUUGGUUCACUGUAUUGUGUAAUUUGUGAUUGGCUAGAGUGAUUAAUGGUUUUGGUAAUACGACGCUUUAAAUACUAUUAGUAGAAUUCUACUAGUAUACUAAUGCAAAUGCUGCAGUCUGAUUGGCUGAGCUACUCGUACACUAUCAGCCAUAGAGUGCAGUGGCUGUCUGUCCUCUACGAAAUGGCGACGCUUCCUCGUUUUCUCGAUAUUUUGGAGGAACGUUUAGAUGCACAUGGACAGUUAAAUUCCCGAGAAGACUAAAAUAAGUUAAUUAACGAUAUUGUGACUUAAAAAACUUGAAAUUAUUGAAAAAAAAAAAACAAGUGCUCACGCGUAAACAACUGCAAAUUUCCAAUGAAAAUUUAGUGCAGGCGAUAUUGUUGUGGCGUGAGUUUAAUAAUAAGUACAAAAAUAAUUGGAAACCGUUAUUUGCGUCAAUUUCGGUUAGAAUUCUACUAAAACA
Molecule: unclassified non-coding RNA, 1566 nt
Filed under: Orbicella faveolata
Lineage: Eukaryota; Metazoa; Cnidaria; Anthozoa; Scleractinia; Merulinidae
Description: uncharacterized LOC110045946, transcript variant X2
Source: RNAcentral